This 3233-nucleotide long non-coding RNA is filed under the name Malus domestica (apple). Its description in RNAcentral is "long non-coding RNA (MDOM_LNC003976)". Lineage: Eukaryota; Viridiplantae; Streptophyta; Magnoliopsida; Rosales; Rosaceae. The record is from RNAcentral.
AUAGUAAUAUAAAAGUUUGAAUAAAUAAAUAAAUAAAUAAAUGAAAUAUAAAAAAUAAAUUUUUACGAAAGUAUUUUUCGGAUUCGUAGUUCCAUAAAAUUUUCGUCGUAACUCUGAACUCGAUUCAGCUUGCUCCUAUGCGUUCGUACCGUUGAGUACUUCGAGAAUACGAUAGAAUAGUAGCUCGUACGUGUCACGAAAUAACGGUCUACGAAAUUCAAUUAUCUCACCUCUAGGGGCAUUUUCAUCAAUUCACUCAUUUAAAAUUAAUAAAAUCGUAAAAUUAGGGAAGGAUUGUCACAAUCUACCCACCUUAAAAAAUUUCGUUCCCGAAAUUUGAAAUAAGUUGCUAUGCAUAAAAUACUCAAGAUAGAAAGAAAAUAUAUAAAGAAUAAAUCAAGCUAGAGCGGUUGCAUAAAAGAGAAUAACAUUCUGUUGCGAUUGGAUUGCAAUGGUUCCUCUUUCAUGCCUCCAAACUCAUACUUUCCUUCUCCUUCAGUAUAAUAUUAAAAUAUAAUACCUUUAUAAAAACAUAAGGUCAAAAUAUAUAUAAUAACAUAACGUCAACAUACAUAUAUACAAUAACGUAGUAUUAAAAUAGUUGUAUUGAAAUUAAAACUAAACAUAGAAAAGUUUUCCACCUACGCACUCAUUGCAUCAUGUAAUAUGAAGAUAAGUGUGUAGUAUCUCUGAGUCUAGCCCAAACAAUAAUUAAAUAAACGAAUAAAAUACCAACGUAGACGGACCUAUUUAUCCACUUGCAUAACGAACCCAACGAAUAAGUUAUUGAUACUACUAUCUACCUAUGGAAGUGAUUGAAAAGGUGGCUAGUCGAAACGGUUUUGUUUACCUAGAUAGGUGAUAAGGUAAAAACAACUAUGACUUUAUUGUCCUAAUACAAAGCUUGCUCCUAAAUUUCCAUGAUUUAGUUUCUUCGGCUCAGGUAGUCAUUGUUCGUGCUCGACGAGGUGGCAAGAUUCGAAAAUUGGGCUUAAGAAUCGAGAAUGCUUACAUCACACAUGUGAUGAACGCAAUACUGCCCAAACUUAUGCUCUGAUACCAAAUUGACACACCUCAACCCAGAAUGUCCAUCUGGACUCCAAAUCGAGCUAUGCUGACCGACACCCAGAGGGUAACGAAGUUAUAAAGUGUAGUGAUGUGGAAAAUGUGAAUAAAUUUAAACAUAAAAAUGCCAAAUACAAGAGUACGCUAGUGAGCGGGAAUGAACCCAUUUCACAUGUGAUGUCAGAGCAUAAGUAAAGUACAGUAAAAUAAGAUGAGAAUUAUACCAUCGAAGGUAAUCUCCGAUACCAUGAUUUGCCAAGAAUCCUCGUUGACACGAAUGCUCAGCUACUAAAACUUGGUGGGGUGAAAAACAAGGGUGAGUGGGCCUAAAUAUAAAACUUCGUAAAACCUUUUCAAAAACAUAAUAACCUCUUGCCAUAAAGCAAUUAUAGUUUCCAAAAUAUACAUACUACAUAUAGUAAGAAAAUACUUACCGUAACCUGCAAUAUUUCAAGAAUUUAAUACGGCAUAAUAUUUCGUAAGUAGACACAUGACGUUCGUAAUCACAUAAUCUCGCAUAAGAAAACAUAUCAUAUCAAGUGCUCAUCGACACAUGCUGACACACAAGUUCAUGCAGAGAUAUUCUGGCAUGAACAAGACUGGGUGUAACAAUGAUAUAUGCUUUAUUACUACAAUCACGUGAACACUGGUGCUAUGCACAACACAUACGAGUCCUAAUUGCGUAUAGUAAUCUAGGACAAGACUGGCACCUACAAUGGAUCCAAAGUGAGCGUACGGUGCGAUGUGCAUAUACACGUGAAAGAUUGGCCUUGGCUCGAGUGAGUACUAACACCGGUGCAGCAAACGAUGAGCAGAUAAUAUAAAUAUGGUCACACCACAGUGAUUCGAUAAUUCUAGUCAACAUAUAUUAUUCAUGGCUGCAAAUAUAAUUAAGGCAUCCCACAUAAACUGUGCAUCCCGCAAGAUUUUGAAUAAUUUCGUAAAUUCCGUCAUUUCGCUAAUUCUUGUAAACAUUAGUCUAAUCUAGGCAUAUGUAGGAAAUUCUUUUUCAAAUGUAUAAAUGGAAACUAACAAAUAUGUAUAUAGUAUAUAAAAGAAAAGACCCACUCACAUAUCAUGUUGUCAGGUCGAAGCUAUUCGAACUAAGAAAGCUAGAGUCAUCGAUAAUAAUCGCAUCUAAGCAUAAUAUUAGGACCCAUUAACAAAACAGCACUAAAAUAAUUAAAUUUGGGAAAACGGAGUGCGGAUUUGGAAUCAGGGCGUCGAAAUAUGUUAAGGAGGGUCCUCGGUAAAUUUUGGAAUUACACUAAAUGGAUGUCAAAAAUAGACUCGGGGCAUCGAAAUUAAUCUAGGAAGGUUUCUGAGAAAAUUUCCAACAACUUAAUAGAAAGAAUAUUUCAAAGAAUAUUUCAAUCCAUUUGGUAAAUGGACCAACUGGAUCUAAGGUUAAUGGGUCAUGGUUAAGAGAAUAUUCUAAUUUUUUUUUUGGUCGGUUGUUGCUGCAACCUCCAAAGACUGGAAGAAGGUGGCCGGAACUGGGAAAUCCAAAUGCUUUAACUAGUUCAUUUCACAACAAAAAUCAGAAAUUCAAAAGCCAAAAUGAAGCUCAAGAGAUAAAGAACAAUAAUACCUAAGUGGGGCUGAGUCGUGGUUGGUACUGGCCAGAAAAUACCUGCAAAGCUUCGGAUGGUUCGCCGGAAAACUGGGGAGUUCUUCCUCAAUGUGGUUCUUUGUUCAAACAUCACUAAACCAUCUCAAAAACAUCUAAAUCAUCAUCCUAGGCACUAUCUACAAAUUUAUAAGAAGGUUUCAGGCCUUACCUUCACCAAAGACGACGAGAACUUGCCGGAUUCAAUUUUUGCACAAUGAUGGUAUUGUACAGCAAGGAAGUGAUGGGUCUCAGCCUUGGGUAGGUUCGUGAUGGGAGAUUAUGUGGGUGGUGUUCGUCGAAACGGCAAGUGGUGGUGGUGGUGUGGUCUGUCAUCCGAGAAAGAGAGAGAUAGAUGAGGGAGACAGAGAGAGUGAAGAGUGAGAGAGAAACUAGGGAGAGCUACGGGAAGAGAAGAGAAAAGAUAGCCCGACAGCUCUGGAAAAAGUAGGACGCGUGGCAAGAAGUGAGAGGAGGCUUUGUGUAGGUGUGGGCCUCACGGUCAGAAAUAUAAUUAAAAUAAUAAAAUAUCCUUUUCAAAAAAAAAAUUUAACUAAUA